RNAcentral lists this ribosomal RNA (1408 nucleotides) under metagenome. RNAcentral's name for it is "bacterial SSU rRNA". It matches the Rfam family "Bacterial small subunit ribosomal RNA", at positions 87 to 1460 of the family's 1533-position model. The record is from RNAcentral.
GGUGGAGAGUGGCGGAAGGGUGAGUAACGCGUGGGCAAUCUACCUCCAAGUUGGGGAUAAUUCCGCGAAAGCGGGACUAAUACCGAAUGUGGUCGUAUGUCGCAUGGCAGGCUGACUAAAGGUGGGGAUCCUUCGGGACCUGCUGCUGGGAGAGGAGCCGCGUGCCAUCAGUUUGUUGGUGAGGUAACGGCCCACCAAGGCCUACGGCUAGCUGGUCUGAGAGGAUGAUCAGCCACACUGGGACUGAGACACUGCCCAGACUCCUACGGGAGGCUGCAGUCGAGGAUCAUUGUCAAUGCGCGGAAGCGUGAACAUGCGACGCUGCGUGGAGGAUGACGGCUUUCGGGUUGUAAACUCCUGUCAUGAGGGAAAAACGAUCCUGCAAUCAAUAUCUGCGGGAAGUGAUGGUACCUCAAGAGGAAGCCACGGCUAACUCUGUGCCAGCAGCCGCGGUAAUACAGAGGUGGCGAGCGUUGUUCGGAUUUACUGGGCGUAAAGGGUGCGUAGGCGGCUUCGUGUGUCGGAUGUGAAAUCCCACGGCCCAACCGUGGAACUGUGUUCGAAACUGCGGAGAUAGAGUGCAGGAGAGGAGAGCGGAAUUCUUGGUGUAGCGGUGAAAUGCGUUGAUAUCAAGAAGAACACCGGUGGCGAAAGCGGCUCUCUGGAAUGUUACUGACGCUGAGGCACGAAAGCUGGGGGAGCGAACAGGAUUAGAUACCCUGGUAGUCCCAGCUGUAAACGGUGUGCACCGUGUGGGAGGUAUUGACCCCUUCCGUGCCGGAGCUAACGCGUUAAGUGCACCGCCUGGGGAGUACGGCCGCAAGGCUAAAACUCAAAGAAAUUGACGGGGGCCCGCACAAGCGGAGGAGCAUGUGGCUUAAUUCGAUGCAACGCGAAGAACCUUACCAGGGCUUGACAUCUACCUGCAUGCCCCCUGAAAGGGGGGAGGCCUUCGAGGGUGGUAGACAGGUGCUGCAUGGCUGUCGUCAGUUCGUGCCGUGAGGUGUUGGGUUAAGUCCCGCAACGAACGCAACCCUUGUGGUUAGUUGCAACUGCAGGUGAUAAGCCUGCGGGCACUCUAGCCAGACUGCCUGUACAAGCAGGAGGAAGGUGGGGAUGACGUCAAGUCAGUAUGGCCCUUACGCCCUGGGCUGCACACGUGCUACAAUGGUCGGUACAGAAGGAUGCAAUACCGCGAGGUGGAGCUAAUCCCCAAAACCGGCCCCAGUUCGGAUUGGAGUCUGAAACUCGACUCCAUGAAGCCGGAUUCGCUAGUAACGGCGUAUCAGCUACGGCGCCGUGAAUACGUUCCCGGGCCUUGUACACACCGCCCGUCACAUCAUGAAAGCCGUCUGCACCCGAAGUCGCUGAGCCAAUCCCGCCCUCGGGCGGGAAGGCAGGCGCCGAA